GCAUCCGUAGCUCAGCUGGAUCGAGUACUCGGCUACGAACCGAGCGGUCGGAGGUUCGAAUCCUCCCGGAUGCACCA
Molecule: transfer RNA, 77 nt
Filed under: Salmonella enterica subsp. enterica serovar Typhimurium
Lineage: Bacteria; Pseudomonadati; Pseudomonadota; Gammaproteobacteria; Enterobacterales; Enterobacteriaceae
Description: tRNAarg2
Rfam family: tRNA
About the family: Transfer RNA (tRNA) molecules are approximately 80 nucleotides in length. Their secondary structure includes four short double-helical elements and three loops (D, anti-codon, and T loops). Further hydrogen bonds mediate the characteristic L-shaped molecular structure. tRNAs have two regions of fundamental functional importance: the anti-codon, which is responsible for specific mRNA codon recognition, and the 3' end, to which the tRNAs corresponding amino acid is attached (by aminoacyl-tRNA synthetases). tRNAs cope with the degeneracy of the genetic code in two manners: having more than one tRNA (with a specific anti-codon) for a particular amino acid; and 'wobble' base-pairing, i.e. permitting non-standard base-pairing at the 3rd anti-codon position.
Source: RNAcentral